RNAcentral lists this ribosomal RNA (253 nucleotides) under uncultured bacterium. Its description in RNAcentral is "partial 16S ribosomal RNA". It matches the Rfam family "Bacterial small subunit ribosomal RNA", at positions 524 to 776 of the family's 1533-position model. The record is from RNAcentral.
UACGAAAGGUGCAAGCGUUACUCGGAAUCACUGGGCGUAAAGCGCACGUAGGCGGACUCGUAGGUCAAUUGUGAAAUACCUGGGCUCAACCCGGGAACUGCAGUUGAAACCGCUUGUCUUGAAUACCUGAGAGGGUGGGGGAAUACCUGGUGGAGAAGUGAAAUUCGUAGAGAUCAGGUGGAACACCGGAGGCGAAGGCGCCUGCCUGGCAGUGUAUUGACGCUGAGGUGCGAAAGCAUGGGUAGCAAACAGG